Molecule: long non-coding RNA, 1143 nt
Organism: Poeciliopsis prolifica (blackstripe livebearer)
Lineage: Eukaryota; Metazoa; Chordata; Actinopteri; Cyprinodontiformes; Poeciliidae
Exons: 4
Source: RefSeq, a predicted model, not a curated record
CCCGACCCAUCUGACAGAACUGGAGCUGAGCGAACCCAACCUGGAAGGUUCUGGACUGAAGGAUCUCUGUGGUUUUCUACAGACUGAAGGCUGCAGACUGAAGACAUUGAAAUUGUGGGACUGCAGUUUCUCAGAGACCAGCUGGACGUCUCUGUUCUCAGCUCUGAAGUCCAACCCGACCCAUCUGACAGAACUGGACCUGUUCAGAACCAACCCGGAAGGUUCUGGACUGAAGGAUCUCUGUGGUUUUCUACAGACUGAAGGCUGCAGACUGGAGAGAUUGUUGUUGAGGAGCUGCAGUUUGUCACAGAUCAGCUGUGAUUAUUUGGCCUCAGCUCUGAAGUCCAACCCGACCCGUCUGACAGAACUCAACCUGAGAGGAAACAACCUGGAGGAAUCAGAUGUUCAUCAGCUGAUGGAUCUUGUAAAGACUGUAAAGUGGAAGACACCUUUGUUGUCCUGCUAAUCCUCAGAGGUUGAAGCUGCAGCAGUUUGAGUCUAAAGAGUCUCUGGAUCAAGAUGAUGACCUCUGACCUCAGAACAUUUUCCUUUUCUAUUUCAAAUGUUUUCCAGAUGUCGAUCAGAAUGUUGAAGAUUUUCAGUUUUAUUUUUGGACUCUUUACUGGAUCAUCUGUAAAGAGUCCAUCUGUUUGAUGAUCUGCAGGAACAAAAGAGAGAAAAAUACUCUAAGUUCGUUAGAAAAGUUAAAUUGAGUAGAAACAUGAAACAUUAAUUUCAUUAAAAACUUGUUAAUGGGACAAAUUGUAAUUUUAUUCUGUCGUGGUGAAAAAGUUGAUCUAAAAUCAGACAUGAUAGCAGCUCUAUAGAUUCAGAGCCAAACAGUAAAACUUCCUCUGGAUCUGUGGCAUUAAAUCCACUUGAGAUCCAGACGUCCUGACCAGAUCCUGCAGAGAAAAGAAACAAUAUUUGAACGUGGAUCAUUUGGACUCAGCUGCUUGGAUGUGUGUUUGGAUUUGAAAGGUUUUGUUGUGAAGCAGAAAGUUGAUGAAGUUCACAGUGAAGACGACUUCAGUCCACCUGAAACCUGGUUUCACUCAAACCGUCUUUAUUCACUUUAAGUUUCUGAUGCAACAAGAAGGAAGAAAAGGUCAAAGUUGAACCAGAGAUCAACUCCAUGUUGCU